GUAAGGAGGUUUUAGAGAGAAGGAGGAGAGUUUGAGAUUCUCAGAAGGUUGAGUUUGAGGAAGAAGAAGAAGGUUGCAUGCAAAAGUGGCGUCAGGCCUUCAUUCUCACCUUAUAUACUGCCUCCAAUCCGAACGGUCGGCCAACUCCAGCGUGACACCUGACUUCCACUUACUGGGGUUCACUGCUCUGCUGCUGCUGCACAGAUCACGAGGGAAGGGAAUUAAAAAGGUUGGCAGAGUUUG
Molecule: long non-coding RNA, 243 nt
Filed under: Vigna radiata
Lineage: Eukaryota; Viridiplantae; Streptophyta; Magnoliopsida; Fabales; Fabaceae
Description: long non-coding RNA (VRAD_LNC014732)
Source: RNAcentral